UGGGGAAUAUUGGACAAUGGGGGGAACCCUGAUCCAGCCAUGCCGCGUGUGUGAAGAAGGCCUUAUGGUUGUAAAGCACUUUAAGCGAGGAGGAGGGUACUGGUAUUAAUACUACCAGGUACUGGACGUUACUCGCAGAAUAAGCACCGGCUAACUCUGUGCCAGCAGCCGCGGUAAUACAGAGGGUGCGAGCGUUAAUCGGAUUUACUGGGCGUAAAGCGUGCGUAGGCGGCUAAUUGAGUCGGAUGUGAAAUCCCCGAGCUUAACUUGGGAAUUGCAUUCGAUACUGGUUAGCUAGAGUGUGGGAGAGGAUGGUAGAAUUCCAGGUGUAGCGGUGAAAUGCGUAGAGAUCUGGAGGAAUACCGAUGGCGAAGGCAGCCAUCUGGCCUAACACUGACGCUGAGGUGCGAAAGCAUGGGGAGCAAACAGG
Molecule: ribosomal RNA, 430 nt
Filed under: Pseudomonadota bacterium
Lineage: Bacteria; Pseudomonadati; Pseudomonadota
Description: Proteobacteria bacterium partial 16S ribosomal RNA
Rfam family: Bacterial small subunit ribosomal RNA
Source: RNAcentral